GACGAACGCUGGCGGCGUGCUUAACACAUGCAAGUCGAACGCUGAAGCCCUGGCUUUUGUUGGGUUGGAUGAGUGGCGAACGGGUGAGUAACACGUGAGUAACCUGCCCUCUUCUUUGGGAUAACGCCCGGAAACGGGUGCUAAUACUGGAUAUUCACUGAUCUUCGCAUGGGGGUUGGUGGAAAGGUUUGUUCUGGUGGGGGAUGGGCUCGCGGCCUAUCAGCUUGUUGGUGGGGUGAUGGCCUACCAAGGCUUUGACGGGUAGCCGGCCUGAGAGGGUGACCGGUCACAUUGGGACUGAGAUACGGCCCAGACUCCUACGGGAGGCAGCAGUGGGGAAUAUUGCACAAUGGGCGAAAGCCUGAUGCAGCGACGCCGCGUGAGGGAUGGAGGCCUUCGGGUUGUAAACCUCUUUCGCUCAUGGUCAAGCCGCAACUGUGGGUUGUGGUGAGGGUAGUGGUUAAAGAAGCGCCGGCUAACUACGUG
RNAcentral lists this ribosomal RNA (486 nucleotides) under uncultured bacterium. RNAcentral's name for it is "partial 16S ribosomal RNA". It matches the Rfam family "Bacterial small subunit ribosomal RNA", at positions 28 to 507 of the family's 1533-position model. The record is from RNAcentral.